UAGAACCUAAAAUGGUUCUUCUGCUGUAGGACCUUCUACAUGGAACCAAAGAGGGUUCUCCCUGGAACAGCCAAAGAACCAUUAUGGAACCCUUUUUUCAAAGAGUGUAGCUAACACCCCCCCCCCCCCUCCCUCCCUCCCCUCCUGCUCUCAAAAACACACAGAAUAAACACACCCACCUUCUUUGUCAUCGUGCCGUAUGAUGGCAUCCUGUAUGACAUCACCAAGGCUGAAGCAAAUGCGGUGCCUCUUCCUGUGGCUGGUGGACGGGGGCUUUGACCUUGACUCCGCUCCCGGUUUCUGCAGGGUGUUCUCCCGCUCGUANNNNNNNNNNNNNNNNNNNNNNNNNNNNNNNNNNNNNNNNNNNNNNNNNNNNNNNNNNNNNNNNNNNNNNNNNNNNNNNNNNNNNNNNNNNNNNNNNNNNCUCUUUCACCCCUGUCAACUCUCGCUCCCUCUUUCACCCUUUCAACUCUCACUCCCUCUUUCAUCCCUUUCAACUCUCGCUCCCUCUUUCACCCUUUCAACUCUCGCUCCCUCUUUCACCCUUUCAACUCUCGCUCCCUCUUUCACUCCUUUCAACUCCUGCUCCCUCUUUCACCCCUUUCAACUCUCGCUCCCUCUUUCACCCCUUUCAACUCUCGCUCCCUCUUUCACCCCUUUCAACUCUCGCUCCCUCUUUCACCCCUUUCAACUCUCGCACCCUCUUUCACCCCUUUCAACUCUCGCUCCCUCUUUCACCCUUUCAACUCUCGCUCCCUCUUUCACCCCUUCAACUCUCGCACCCCUCUUUCACCCCUUUCAACUCUCGCUCCCUCUUUCACCCCUUUCAACUCUCGCAGCCUCUUUCACCCUUCAACUCUCGCUCCCUCUUUCACCCCUUUCAACUCUCGCUCCUUCUUUCACCUCUUUCACUCUCGCUCCCUCUUUCACCCCUUUCAACUCUCGCACCCUCUUUCACCCCUUUCAACUCUCGCUCCCUCUUUCACCCCUUUCAACUCUCGCUCACCUCUUUCACCCCUUUCAACUCUCGCUCCUCUUUCACCCAUUUCUCUUCUAUACUUCCCCCUUGUCCUUUAAAUUUCUAUUUCAGGUUUCUCUUCCUCCCUCUCUUCUUCCUCUCUUCCUCCCUCUUUUCUUUCCUCUCUUAUUUCCUCUCUUCUUCCUGUCUAUUGCUCCCUCUCUUCUUUCCUCUCUUCCUCCUGUCUAUUCCUCAUGUCUCAUCCUCAUCUCUCCCUUCCUCUCUUCUUUCCUUUCUUCCUCCCUCUCUUCCUCAGGUCUCUUCCUCCUUCUCUUCCUCCCUGUCUUCCUCAUGUCUCAUCCUCAUGUCUCUUCCUUCCUCUCUUCCUCCCUCUCUUCCUCCCUCUAUUCCUCAUGUCUCAUCCUCAUGUCUCUUCCUUCCUCUCUUCCCUCCCUCUCUUCCUCCCUCUAUUCCUCAUGUCUCAUCCUUCAUGUCUCUUCCUUCCUCUCUUCCUCCCUCUCUUCCUCCCUCUCUUUCUCAUAUCUCAUCGUCAUGUCUCUUCCUUCCUCUCUUCCUCCCUCUCUUCCUCAUGUCUCUUCCUCCCUAUCUUCCUUCCUCACUUCCACCCUCUCCCUCUCUUCCUCCAUCUCUUCCUCCUGUCUCUAAGCCAGGAUCCAAGACACUUUAGAAAAGCUGCAGUGAACUAAGCUGCUCCAGUCACAGAAACCAAUUACCGUCGAAAACCCAGACCUCUGCUCUGUGGGCCCAGCCCUGUGUCAGUACACACCACCAUCCUCACUAUAACCCUUACUACUACUUAGUUUAUACAGCUUCUUAAGCUGACUUUGCUGAGUUAGAGAGAGGGUACACCCUGAUAACCAUGAAACUAGUGACCCGACCCACCACAACCAAGCCUGGCCUGAGGAGGCUAGCACCUACCCCCACAGAGAGACACACAACCCAGCCUUAUCUGGACUGGAGGAGCUAGAUAAUCAUAUCUGGACUGGAGGAGCUAGAUAAUCAUAUCAGGACUGGAGGAGCUAGCUAGUCAUAUCUGGACUGGAGGAGCUAGCUAGUCAUAUCUGGACUGGAGGAGCUAGAUAAUCAUAUCUGGACUGGAGGAGCUAGAUAAUCAUAUCAGGACUGGAGGAGCUAGCUAGUCAUAUCUGGACUGGAGGAGCUAGCUAGUCAUAUCUGGACUGGAUGAGCUAGCUAGUCAUAUCUGGACUGGAGGAGCUAGCUAGUCAUAUCUGGACUGGAGGAGCUAGAUAAUCAUAUCAGGACUGGAGGAGCUAGCUAGUCAUAUCUGGACUGGAGGAGCUAGCUAGUCAUAUCUGGACUGGAUGAGCUAGCUAGUCAUAUCUGGACUGGAGGAGCUAGCUAGUCAUAUCUGGACUGGAGGAGCUAGAUAAUCAUAUUCACAGCUGACAGUAGAGUGUCUAUGGACCAGAGCUGGGUACAUCUGUCCUAGGCUGGCUAACUAUGUCAAAGCACCAUAGACUGAGCGCUACAGACAUGGACACAGGAAACAAUGGAGAAUUAUCAGUGCUGGGCCUCUGUAUAGACUUUUGUAAUACUGGGAAGAGUGAUAUAGACUGCAGAAUAGAGGGAUGGAGUGGGGGGGCUGUAUAGAACAGAAUGGAGAGAGAGAAGAAGAGAAAGAGAAAGUAGUAACUAGACAGAGUGCCAGUGUGGGCCAGUGGGAGUAGAGCUAAGUCAAUGGCUUGUGUGUGUGUGUGUGUCUGUGUAACCAACUUGAUCUCAUAGUUUUACUUGGACGUGAACAUAAUUGAUGACCAGCAAGAGUGGUCAUCAAUCAUUAAGGUAAGGGUUAAUGACUUUCUAUCGUUGGAUUCCAACUUGCCUUAUGCUUAUGUCCAUCUGCACACACACACACACACACACACACACACACACACACACACACACACACACACACACACACACACACACACACACACACACACACACACACACACACACACCGCCACCAGCAGACUC
Molecule: long non-coding RNA, 2959 nt
Filed under: Oncorhynchus kisutch (coho salmon)
Lineage: Eukaryota; Metazoa; Chordata; Actinopteri; Salmoniformes; Salmonidae
Description: lncRNA (ENSOKIG00005028268.1)
Source: RNAcentral